AAAAGCAAACUGCUAUCAAACUGCAGGCACCAAAAGAAAACAAAAAAAAGUGCAUGGACUAAUACCAAAAGUUGAUGUAAUUGCAGGGACUAAUUGUUAAUUGCAAAGUGGAAUCCUCAUCUUAUUCAUCAGUGACAAUGCCUUAUAUAGGCUUAUUACAAACAUAGGCCUAACAAGUUUUCACUUGACCAAGCCAAGUUACUCAUACUACACAAGUCACUAAGCUAUACACAUUACAUGAUUCAUCCAACACUAAUCACAUAUUUAAGCCUAUAAUAUGUUAUCGGGACUAUAAGAAAAUGCUUAAAACCUUGAUCAUAUUCAAUUGUUGAUUGAUCAAAUAACUACAUGUAAAUGUUGAUGCUCAGAUCAUACGUAUAGUAUGUUGUUGUACAUAUAAAAGAACUUUAAAGAAUGCUCAUAGAUACUCUUUUCCUCCUAUGAUAUGAACAUAGUUAAUUUCCUUUCAUUGUAUAAUUAAAGGUUCGUUAAGAUUGAACUUGUAUGGUUAGAAAAGAAUGACAUAUUAUUGUGAAUAUAAAUAAGUGGCAGUUUUUUUUUUUUACAUAAAAUAAGUGCCAGUUUAUUAAACUAAUUAAAUUUAAGUAUUUAUUGAUCUAAGACUUAAAUUUCAAAAAUUAGUUUUUAUAAAAAAAAAUGGCCUAAAGAAAUAAUUUUAUUUUUUUUAAAUCUAAGCCUUGAAUUUUACAUUUAUGUCGACACAAUUACAAAAAUACAACCCAUAACUAAUAAUUCUAUUUCUUUUCUUGUGUUAGAUUACACAACAUUUGUUCAACUCAAACAAUUUCUAUAUUUUAUACGUAUAAAUUU
This 831-nucleotide long non-coding RNA is filed under the name Trifolium pratense (red clover). RNAcentral's name for it is "long non-coding RNA (TPRA_LNC002242)". Lineage: Eukaryota; Viridiplantae; Streptophyta; Magnoliopsida; Fabales; Fabaceae. The record is from RNAcentral.